GGUCAACAUAACCUAUAUAUAUAUAAUUUGAAAGACCCAAGUUAAAUUCCCUCCUCUUAUAUAUGCAAUAUAUUUUUUUUAAUUUAACAAAAAUCAACUUUGAAGCAAUCAAAACCAAUUGGUCUGAUUCAAAAUCAAAAUUAAUUUAUUUCUUUUAAAAAAACUGAAAAAAAAUGAAAAUUCAACCACUAAAUUUGAGACAAUCAGAAAUCAGAAUCGAAAUAGGAAG
This 229-nucleotide unclassified non-coding RNA is filed under the name Hevea brasiliensis (rubber tree). Lineage: Eukaryota; Viridiplantae; Streptophyta; Magnoliopsida; Malpighiales; Euphorbiaceae. The record is from RNAcentral.